RNAcentral lists this ribosomal RNA (357 nucleotides) under Triticum aestivum (bread wheat). RNAcentral's name for it is "partial small subunit ribosomal RNA". Lineage: Eukaryota; Viridiplantae; Streptophyta; Magnoliopsida; Poales; Poaceae. The record is from RNAcentral.
AUGGGUCUCCUCAGCAUCGUCAGAAAAAUCAAGCGCAAGGAAAAGGAGAUGCGGAUUCUCAUGGUUGGCCUGGACAACUCGGGUAAGACGACAAUUGUGCUCAAGAUAAAUGGGGAGGAUACCAGCGUCAUCAGCCCUACUCUUGGCUUUAAUAUCAAGACCAUCCAGUACCAAAAGUACUCGCUGAACAUAUGGGAUGUCGGGGGUCAGAAGACCAUCCGUUCAUAUUGGAGGAACUACUUCGAGCAGACUGACGGUCUAGUUUGGGUGGUCGAUAGUUCAGAUGUUCGAAGGCUCGAUGACUGCCGUGCUGAGCUCCACAAUCUUUUGAAGGAAGAGAGACUGGCUGGAUCAUAG